AGUCGAACGAGAAUCUUUAGCUUGCUAGAGAAAGUACAGUGGCGCACGGGUGAGUAACGCGUGGGUAAUCUGCCUCCGAAUCGGGGAUAACAUUGCGAAAGCGAUGCUAAUACCGGAUAAAAUCUGGUUGGCUUAGGUGAACCGGAUCAAAGGUGGUCUCUUUAUAAAAGCUACCGUUUGGAGAUGAGCUCGCGUACCAUUAGCUAGUUGGUGAGGUAAAGGCUCACCAAGGCGACGAUGGUUAGCUGGUCUGAGAGGAUGAUCAGCCACACCGGAACUGGAACACGGUCCGGACUCCUACGGGAGGCAGCAGUGAGGAAUUUUGCGCAAUGGGGGAAACCCUGACGCAGCAACGCCGCGUGAGUGAUGAAGGCUUUCGGGUCGUAAAGCUCUGUCAGGUGGGAAGAACCCACCAAGUGUUAAGACCACUUGGUGCUGACGGUACCACCGAAGGAAGCACCGGCUAACUCCGUGCCAGCAGCCGCGGUAAUACGGGGGGUGCGAGCGUUAUUCGGAAUCAUUGGGCGUAAAGGGCGCGCAGGCGGUUUUGUAAGUCAGAUGUGAAAUCCCGGGGCUUAACCCCGGAAGUGCAUAUGAAACUAUGAGACUUGAGUAUGGGAGAGGGAAGCGGAAUUCUGGUGUAGCGGUGAAAUGCGUAGAUAUCAGGAGGAACACCGGUGGCGAAAGCGGCUUCCUGGACCAAUACUGACGCUGAGGCGCGAAGGCGUGGGGAGCGAACAGGAUAAGAUACCCUGGUAGUCCACGCAGUAAA
Molecule: ribosomal RNA, 772 nt
Filed under: uncultured organism
Description: bacterial SSU rRNA
Rfam family: Bacterial small subunit ribosomal RNA
Source: RNAcentral